This 463-nucleotide ribosomal RNA is filed under the name Aquitalea sp. Its description in RNAcentral is "bacterial SSU rRNA". It matches the Rfam family "Bacterial small subunit ribosomal RNA", at positions 401 to 857 of the family's 1533-position model. Lineage: Bacteria; Pseudomonadati; Pseudomonadota; Betaproteobacteria; Neisseriales; Chromobacteriaceae. The record is from RNAcentral.
GUGUCUGAAGAAGGCCUUCGGGUUGUAAAGGACUUUUGUCAGGGAGGAAAUCCCUAAGGUUAAUACCCUUGGGGGAUGACAGUACCUGAAGAAUAAGCACCGGCUAACUACGUGCCAGCAGCCGCGGUAAUACGUAGGGUGCAAGCGUUAAUCGGAAUUACUGGGCGUAAAGCGUGCGCAGGCGGUUGUGUAAGUCUGAUGUGAAAGCCCCGGGCUCAACCUGGGAACUGCAUUGGAGACUGCACGGCUAGAGUGCGUCAGAGGGGGGUAGAAUUCCGCGUGUAGCAGUGAAAUGCGUAGAGAUGCGGAGGAAUACCGAUGGCGAAGGCAGCCCCCUGGGAUGACACUGACGCUCAUGCACGAAAGCGUGGGGAGCAAACAGGAUUAGAUACCCUGGUAGUCCACGCCCUAAACGAUGUCAACUAGCUGUUGGGGGUUUGAAUCCUUGGUAGCGUAGCUAACG